This 439-nucleotide ribosomal RNA is filed under the name uncultured prokaryote. RNAcentral describes it as "partial 16S ribosomal RNA". The record is from RNAcentral.
CCCUAUGGGGUGCAGCAAUAAACAGAACUUCGGGACCGGGCUCCUCAUGCCGCUGAUCAUGCUUGGCCUGCUGCUGCUGCGCAUCAUCUAUCCCCCCGUGGAGGGGCAGGCUCAAAGCGGAGUCCUGUUCUACAGCCUGAAGGGACCGGGGGCCGCGUAUGCACCGUUGUUGAUUUCCCUCGGUAUCGGCCUUUUUGUGGGCGUUCUGGCCCAGCGCAGCCGCUUCUGCACCAUGGGGGCGCUCCGGGACCUGAUUCUUUUCAAGCAGUGGCAUCUUUUUCCGGCUUCCUGGCCCUCCUGGCGGCGGCAUGGCUCGCCAACCUCGCCCUGGGGCAGUUCCAUCCCGGCUUCGAAAAACAGCCCGUUGCGCAUACCCUCGCCUUCUGGAACUUCGCGGGCAUGCUUGUCGCCGGUCUUUCCUUUGCCCUGGCGGGAGGGC